RNAcentral lists this ribosomal RNA (258 nucleotides) under uncultured bacterium. Its description in RNAcentral is "partial 16S ribosomal RNA". It matches the Rfam family "Bacterial small subunit ribosomal RNA", at positions 793 to 1055 of the family's 1533-position model. The record is from RNAcentral.
GUCCACGCAGUAAACGAUGAUAACUCGUUGUCGGCGAUAUACAGUCGGUGACCAAGCGAAAGCGAUAAGUUAUCCACCUGGGGAGUACGUUCGCAAGAAUGAAACUCAAAGGAAUUGACGGGGGCCCGCACAAGCGGAGGAACAUGUGGUUUAAUUCGAUGAUACGCGAGGAACCUUACCCGGGCUUGAAAGUUAGUGACGGAUGCCGAAAGGUGUCUUCCCUUCGGGGCACGAAACUAGGUGCUGCAUGGUUGUCGU